Molecule: non-coding RNA, 463 nt
Organism: Pelobates cultripes (western spadefoot toad)
Lineage: Eukaryota; Metazoa; Chordata; Amphibia; Anura; Pelobatidae
Source: the annotation of a GenBank genome assembly
GGGUGACAUGUUCAGUGAGUAUGCUGGCCAUGCAAGAACUGGGAUGUUUUCAGCUUCCAGGAAUUCUGUACAGAUUCUUGCAACAUGGGGCCGUGCAUUAUCAUGCUGCAACAUGAGGUGAUUGGGUCUCAGGAUCUUGUCAAGGUAUCUCUGUGCAUUCAAAAUGCCAUCAAUAAAAUGCAACUGUGUUCGUUGUACUUAUCAUACGCCUGCCCAUGCCAUAACCCCACCGCCACCAUGGGCCACUCAAUCCACAACAUUGACAUCAGCAAACUGCUCACCCAUACAAUGCCAUACAGGCUAUCUGCCCUGAACAGUGAAAACCAGGAUUAAUUUGAAGAGAACACCAUUGAAUGUGAGCAUUUGCCCACUCAAGUCGGUUACAACGUCGAACUGCAGUCAGGUCGAGCCCCCAAUGAGGACGACGAGCAUGCAGAUGAGCUUCCCUGAGACGGUUUCUGAC